GACGAACGCUGGCGGCGUGCUUAACACAUGCAAGUCGAACGGAAAGGCCCUGCUUUUGUGGGGUGCUCGAGUGGCGAACGGGUGAGUAACACGUGAGUAACCUGCCCUUGACUUUGGGAUAACUUCAGGAAACUGGGGCUAAUACCGGAUAGGAGCUCCUGCUGCAUGGUGGGGGUUGGAUAGUUUCGGCGGUUGGGGUUGGACUCGCGGCUUAUCAGCUUGUUGGUGGGGUAGUGGCUUACCAAGGGUUUGACGGGUAGCCGGCCUGAGAGGGUGACCGGACACAUUGGGACUGAGAGACGGACCAGAAUGCAAAGGGAGGCAGCAGUGGGGAAGAUUGCAAAAUGGGCGGAAGCCAGAUGAAGAAACGCCGCGUGCGGGAUGACGGGCUUCGGGUUGUAAACAGCUUUAGCCUGUGAAGAAGAGUGAGUGACGGUAAUGGGUAAAGAAGCACCGGCUAACUACGUG
Molecule: ribosomal RNA, 468 nt
Filed under: uncultured bacterium
Lineage: Bacteria
Description: partial 16S ribosomal RNA
Rfam family: Bacterial small subunit ribosomal RNA
Source: RNAcentral